RNAcentral lists this ribosomal RNA (919 nucleotides) under uncultured bacterium. Its description in RNAcentral is "bacterial SSU rRNA". It matches the Rfam family "Bacterial small subunit ribosomal RNA", at positions 77 to 994 of the family's 1533-position model. The record is from RNAcentral.
CCUUCGGGUGCUGACGAGUGGCGAACGGGUGAGUAAUACAUCGGAACGUGCCCAGUAAUGGGGGAUAGCUCGGCGAAAGCCGGAUUAAUACCGCAUACGCCCUGAGGGGGAAAGUGGGGGACCGCAAGGCCUCACGUUAUUGGAGCGGCCGAUGGCUGAUUAGCUAGUUGGUAGGGUAAAGGCCUACCAAGGCGACGAUCAGUAGCUGGUCUGAGAGGACGAUCAGCCACACUGGGACUGAGACACGGCCCAGACUCCUACGGGAGGCAGCAGUGGGGAAUUUUGGACAAUGGGGGAAACCCUGAUCCAGCAAUGCCGCGUGUGCGAAGAAGGCCUUCGGGUUGUAAAGCACUUUUGUCAGGGAAGAAAUCCUUUGGGCUAAUACCCUAGGGGGAUGACGGUACCUGAAGAAUAAGCACCGGCUAACUACGUGCCAGCAGCCGCGGUAAUACGUAGGGUGCAAGCGUUAAUCGGAAUUACUGGGCGUAAAGCGUGCGCAGGCGGUUGUGUAAGACAGGUGUGAAAUCCCCGGGCUUAACCUGGGAAUUGCAUUUGUGACUGCACGACUAGAGUGUGUCAGAGGGGGGUGGAAUUCCACGUGUAGCAGUGAAAUGCGUAGAUAUGUGGAGGAACACCAAUGGCGAAGGCAGCCCCCUGGGAUAACACUGACGCUCAUGCACGAAAGCGUGGGGAGCAAACAGGAUUAGAUACCCUGGUAGUCCACGCCCUAAACGAUGUCAACUAGUUGUUGGGGAUUUACUUCCUUGGUAACGUAGCUAACGCGUGAAGUUGACCGCCUGGGGAGUACGGCCGCAAGGUUAAAACUCAAAGGAAUUGACGGGGACCCGCACAAGCGGUGGAUGAUGUGGAUUAAUUCGAUGCAACGCGAAAAACCUUACCUACCCUUGACAUGCAGAGA